This is a long non-coding RNA of Triticum aestivum (bread wheat), 1231 nucleotides long. RefSeq lists it as uncharacterized. The record is from RefSeq and is a predicted model, not a curated record. NCBI's taxonomy places the organism in Eukaryota, Viridiplantae, Streptophyta, Magnoliopsida, Poales, Poaceae. The transcript has 5 exons.
UAAUCACUCCCUCCCUCCCUCGCGGCGUUUCUUGGAUUUGGCUCCGGAGGAGGAAUCCGGAGUGCCCCGUCCGCAUCUCUCGAUCGAAUCGCCGGCCCCGUCGCUUCCGCGGAGCUCCCCCGAUCCCGUCGCCCGGUGCGGUUCGAAUUCCGGCCGAAUUGGCGUUCUUGGCGAUCGGUUUGGAGGCGGGACUGGAUUCUUGAUUGGCUGGCCGGGUUGUCUGUGGGGAGGCUCCGUCGGCCGGGAAUCGCGCCUUCCUCGUCCGGCCAAGGAACUUGCUCAUAUGGUGUUUGCUAAAAUAGAAGAAUCUGCUAAAAGAGGUUGGACGGGGGCUGUACGUGGACAUGAACUCGUUCCAUGGAUUCGGGAGGGAGCAUGUGCCAUGGAACUUUGAGAAGACGGAGAACCAUGUGUACCUCAACAUCGUGCAGUAGCAGAAGCUGGAUCGCCAUGAGCUGGAACGCCCGUUGAAGAAGUCACUCUGCUCACCAUCAGUAUGACAGACUUGUCGCUCAUUAGAUCAUGAGGGAGGUGCGCUGGCUACGUCUCUAGGGACUGUGUGGCGGGUGUGACCUCUCCCAGCUCCCCGCCUUCGCCCGCGAUGACGAGGACCAGGUCCGCUGCGCCUCCAAUCCCAGAUCAUGGUCGCGCAGGACAUGCUCCAUGACGCUGUGUGUGUGUCGAUCUGAAGCUAUCCUCUAUUGCAUCUAGAGGCUUGUACAAGCCAUAGAUCAAAUCCGACAAGAUAAGAAAUAUGUGUGUCUGAGGAACCAAGACGCCAAAGGUUCAGAGCGGCAUUGUGCUGAAAAAGCCAGGACAAUGUAAGAGGCUUGCACACAAGGAUCUAGGUUUCUCUACGAGCAGCAGAAUCAAUAUCCGAUAGAAUAUAACAAUUACGGACGAGGAGCCGCAACCGUAGCUUGUUGAGAUGUUGCAUAGCUUUCAGAGAACUAGGAAAGUAAUGGUGGACUCUCAUGAAGCACAAAGACAGAUAAUGUUUGAGGCAAAUUCCUUCACCGGCCCUGCGUAUGAGAAAUUCUGCAAUGAUGCCCAGCGGCAUGCUACUCUCAAGCUGGAGGUCGAGCUUAGGAACUGGAGGUCCUGCUUCGUGAGCUACGUCAGUGCUCAGAAGGCGUACAUCGAAUCCCUUGAUGGUUGGUUGUCCAAGUUCAUGCUCACAGACACCAUCCGUUAAUCCCGGGGAUCUCCUUGAUCGCGCUCGACAGCACCA